This 465-nucleotide ribosomal RNA is filed under the name Vreelandella stevensii. RNAcentral's name for it is "partial 16S ribosomal RNA". It matches the Rfam family "Bacterial small subunit ribosomal RNA", at positions 338 to 795 of the family's 1533-position model. Lineage: Bacteria; Pseudomonadati; Pseudomonadota; Gammaproteobacteria; Oceanospirillales; Halomonadaceae. The record is from RNAcentral.
CCUACGUGGUGCUGCAGUGGGGAAUAUUGGACAAUGGGCGAAAGCCUGAUCCAGCCAUGCCGCGUGUGUGAAGAAGGCCUUCGGGUUGUAAAGCACUUUCAGUGGGGAAGAAAGCCUUGGGGCUAAUACCCUCGAGGAAGGACAUCACCCACAGAAGAAGCACCGGCUAACUCCGUGCCAGCAGCCGCGGUAAUACGGAGGGUGCGAGCGUUAAUCGGAAUUACUGGGCGUAAAGCGCGCGUAGGCGGUCUGAUAAGCCGGUUGUGAAAGCCCUGGGCUCAACCUGGGAACGGCAUCCGGAACUGUCAGGCUAGAGUGCAGGAGAGGAAGGUAGAAUUCCCGGUGUAGCGGUGAAAUGCGUAGAGAUCGGGAGGAAUACCAGUGGCGAAGGCGGCCUUCUGGACUGACACUGACGCUGAGGUGCGAAAGCGUGGGUAGCAAACAGGAUUAGAUACCCGAGUAGUC